Molecule: long non-coding RNA, 1075 nt
Filed under: Struthio camelus australis
Lineage: Eukaryota; Metazoa; Chordata; Aves; Struthioniformes; Struthionidae
Description: lncRNA (ENSSCUG00000011456.1)
Source: RNAcentral
GCUCUGCCCAGGUAGUACAGAGAUCAGAGGGGGUGGGAGACGUGUGGUUGGAUUCAUGACACAGCAGUGCGUUUUAAUAGGCCUUGGGUCGCCCAUGGGGCCGGGGCUGCAGUACCGCAGCCCCAGGCGGUGGAGACGCCCCGUUCCCUUGCUGCCCCGCGGGUCCUCCGCGCCGCCGGCCCCUGUGCGCUGGGCUCGCACCUCCGGCGUGCGAGAUCUGUGAGGAGCCCUUCUGAAGCGGUCUGAUCAGUUAAAUUGUUUUGAUCAACACUUGUAAUACGAAUUGUUUACAUGCUUGAGGGAAGCCAUCAAGUUUCGCCACCAUUGUGGAUAUGUUUUCCAUCAGUCUGAUUAACAGGUUUACAUAAAGCUGCACUAUUUUCUGCUCCUUCAUCCGAUCCAAUUCCUGCUUGUAUGAUGCCAUGGAGAGGAUAAGAACUAAGCAUCCUUUGUGAUCAAAGCGUUCGUGCUGCGGUGGUGAUAUGAGAACCUAAAUGGGACAGAACUAGAAGUGGAAAGAAGCCUAUUUCCAUCGACAUUCUGCGCCCACACUGCCAUUUCCAGAUCUGCUUCCAGGUUCAAAUUCCUGCUCCUCUUUAGAGAGCAUGAGGGAAAAAUUCUCAGGCUUGAGUGUGAAACCUGCCCAGCUGGUCGUAUCCUUCUCUCGGCAAAGCUGAGACAGGCCACAACUCACAGCAACAUUUGUCCUCAGCCAGUUGCCACUGCUGGGAGAAAAAAAAAGAAAAAAGAACAAGAAAAUAAGCUCUGUGUGAGAUCAAGAUUUCAAUGCAUUGCACACCAAAACAUUUGUUGCUAUUUACUUUUAAAAGUGCCCUUCUGAGGCAGCACGGCUAGAGCUGCCAUCUGUUCAGGGUUACGCUCUGGAACUCCUGGUUUCCCUGCAAACCUCCUGCCUCGUGCGCUGCUCCGUCUGCACGGAAAAGAGAGGUAGCAGGGGAUAAUGGGCUGGCUUUAGAGGAAAUAUAACUUUACAGCUGGAUCUGAAAUUCUGGCCUGGUUGUCAGGGAACCACGGAUAUGAGAGGUGUAAAAAGAUUCUUGAUAGUGAAGCUGAC